Molecule: transfer RNA, 71 nt
Filed under: Staphylinoidea sp. 13 KM-2017
Lineage: Eukaryota; Metazoa; Arthropoda; Insecta; Coleoptera
Description: tRNA-Lys
Source: RNAcentral
CAUUAGAUGGCUGAAAGUAAGUAAUAGUCUCUUAAACUAAUUAAUAUUAGAGUAACGUCUAUUUCUAAUGA